This is a long non-coding RNA of Mus musculus (house mouse), 550 nucleotides long. RefSeq annotates it as predicted gene, 52024. The record is from RefSeq and is a predicted model, not a curated record. The transcript is spliced from 3 exons. NCBI's taxonomy places the organism in Eukaryota, Metazoa, Chordata, Mammalia, Rodentia, Muridae.
CUGCUCCUCAUGCCAAGGUUGCAGUGUGGAUCUGUGUACCAGGGGCUUACACGGAGAUCUCUGGCCCCGCCUGGUGCGAGAGAGUUCCAGCGAAGCCAAGCAAGUACAGGCAGGGAUGGGAAGUCUUCCAACGCUUCUGCUGCUGCCGUUGGCUCCACCUCCGUCUCUGCCUGCCUUCCAGGUUACUUGUUUACUCCUAUGAGAGGCGGACUAGCAAGUGAGGAGUGCAGUGGAGCUUCAGGUGGCACUUCCGGAGAUCAGAGCUCUUCCCAAGUGACAGCUCUUAGGACAAAAGGCUUGGAUGACGGAGCAGCUCUUGCACACCUUUAAUCCUUCCGGAUUAGGAUUCGUAUAUACAGUUUUGGGGGCUGGCGUUUAUAGAUCUGAUUUGACAAGUUGCUGGCUUCCAGAUGACUGUGAUAGCUUUGACUUGGAGAUUGAACUCCCAGCCACAUGAUGUUAGGGUUUCCCAUAGCCCAGGAUGACCCUGAAAUUCAUAUCCUCCUCCUCCUCCUGCUACCUUCCAAGCACUGGGAUUAUAGGUUUGUAC